UGGGGAAUAUUGCACAAUGGGCGCAAGCCUGAUGCAGCCAUGCCGCGUGUGUGAAGAAGGCCUUCGGGUUGUAAAGCACUUUCAGCGGGGAGGAAGGCGAUAAGGUUAAUAACCUUGUCGAUUGACGUUACCCGCAGAAGAAGCACCGGCUAACUCCGUGCCAGCAGCCGCGGUAAUACGGAGGGUGCAAGCGUUAAUCGGAAUUACUGGGCGUAAAGCGCACGCAGGCGGUUGAUUGAGUCAGAUGUGAAAUCCCCGGGCUUAACCCGGGAAUUGCAUCUGAUACUGGUCAGCUAGAGUCUUGUAGAGGGGGGUAGAAUUCCAGGUGUAGCGGUGAAAUGCGUAGAGAUCUGGAGGAAUACCGGUGGCGAAGGCGGCCCCCUGGACAAAGACUGACGCUCAGGUGCGAAAGCGUGGGGAGCAAACAGG
RNAcentral lists this ribosomal RNA (429 nucleotides) under Chloroflexota bacterium. RNAcentral's name for it is "Chloroflexi bacterium partial 16S ribosomal RNA". It matches the Rfam family "Bacterial small subunit ribosomal RNA", at positions 355 to 776 of the family's 1533-position model. Lineage: Bacteria; Bacillati; Chloroflexota. The record is from RNAcentral.